GCCCGGCUGGCGCAAUGGUUAGCGCAUAUGACUUCUACAAGAGGUUAUCAUAAGGUUGUGGGGUUCGUGAUUAGUGUCUCAUGACUACAUCUUCACUUGUUAACUUCUUGAUAGUUCGAGUCCCACGUCGGGUU
Non-coding RNA from Xylaria sp. FL1042, 134 nucleotides. The record is from the annotation of a GenBank genome assembly. NCBI's taxonomy places the organism in Eukaryota, Fungi, Ascomycota, Sordariomycetes, Xylariales, Xylariaceae.